UACGUAGGGCGCAAGCGUUGUCCGGAAUUAUUGGGCGUAAAGAGCUCGUAGGCGGUUUGUCGCGUCUGCUGUGAAAACCUAAGGCUCAACCUUGGGCUUGCAGUGGGUACGGGCAGACUAGAGUGCGGUAGGGGUGACUGGAAUUCCUGGUGUAGCGGUGGAAUGCGCAGAUAUCAGGAGGGAACACCGAUGGCGAAAGGCAGGUCACUG
Molecule: ribosomal RNA, 210 nt
Filed under: uncultured bacterium
Lineage: Bacteria
Description: partial 16S ribosomal RNA
Rfam family: Bacterial small subunit ribosomal RNA
Source: RNAcentral